Molecule: ribosomal RNA, 253 nt
Filed under: uncultured bacterium
Lineage: Bacteria
Description: partial 16S ribosomal RNA
Rfam family: Bacterial small subunit ribosomal RNA
Source: RNAcentral
UACGGGGGGGGCAAGCGUUGUUCGGAAUUACUGGGCGUAAAGGGCUCGUAGGCGGCCAACUAAGUCAGACGUGAAAUCCCUCGGCUUAACCGGGGAACUGCGUCUGAUACUGGAUGGCUUGAGUUUGGGAGAGGGAUGCGGAAUUCCAGGUGUAGCGGUGAAAUGCGUAGAUAUCUGGAGGAAUACCGGUGGCGAAGGCGGCAUCCUGGACCGACAUUGACGCUGAGGAGCGAAAGCUAGGGGAGCAAACGGG